UACGGGGGGGGCAAGCGUUGUCCGGAAUUACUGGGCGUAAAGAGCUCGUAGGUGGUUUGUCGCGUUGUUCGUGAAAACUCACAACUCAAUUGUGGGCGUGCGGGCGAUACGGGCAGACUGGAGUACUGCAGGGGAGACUGGAAUUCCUGGUGUAGCGGUGGAAUGCGCAGAUAUCAGGAGGAACACCGGUGGCGAAGGCGGGUCUCUGGGCAGUAACUGACGCUGAGGAGCGAAAGCGUGGGGAGCGAACAGG
Molecule: ribosomal RNA, 253 nt
Filed under: uncultured bacterium
Lineage: Bacteria
Description: partial 16S ribosomal RNA
Rfam family: Bacterial small subunit ribosomal RNA
Source: RNAcentral